RNAcentral lists this ribosomal RNA (253 nucleotides) under uncultured bacterium. RNAcentral describes it as "partial 16S ribosomal RNA". It matches the Rfam family "Bacterial small subunit ribosomal RNA", at positions 524 to 776 of the family's 1533-position model. The record is from RNAcentral.
UACGAAGGGGGCUAGCGUUGCUCGGAAUCACUGGGCGUAAAGCGCACGUAGGCGGAUUGCUAAGUCAGGGGUGAAAUCCUGGAGCUCAACUCCAGAACUGCCUUUGAUACUGGCGGUCUUGAGUCCGGGAGAGGUGAGUGGAACUGCGAGUGUAGAGGUGAAAUUCGUAGAUAUUCGCAAGAACACCAGUGGCGAAGGCGGCUCACUGGCCCGGUACUGACGCUGAGGUGCGAAAGCGUGGGGAGCAAACAGG